Molecule: ribosomal RNA, 254 nt
Filed under: uncultured bacterium
Lineage: Bacteria
Description: partial 16S ribosomal RNA
Rfam family: Bacterial small subunit ribosomal RNA
Source: RNAcentral
UACGUAGGGUGCAAGCGUUGUCCGGAAUUAUUGGGCGUAAAGAGCUCGUAGGCGGUCUGUCGCGUCUGGUGUGAAAAUCCAGGGCUUAACCCUGGACCUGCAUCGGGUACGGGCAGACUAGAGUGCGGUAGGGGAGAUCGGAAUUCCUGGUGUAGCGGUGAAAUGCGCAGAUAUCAGGAGGAACACCGGUGGCGAAGGCGGAUCUCUGGGCCGUAACUGACGCUGAGGAGCGAAAGCAUGGGGAGCGAACAGGA